GGAGAAGUUGCUCAGUGGUUAGAGCACUGGCUGCUCUUGAAAAGGACCUGGGUUCAGUUCCCAGCAUCACCA
RNAcentral lists this transfer RNA (72 nucleotides) under Cricetulus griseus (Chinese hamster). It matches the Rfam family "tRNA". Rfam says of the family: Transfer RNA (tRNA) molecules are approximately 80 nucleotides in length. Their secondary structure includes four short double-helical elements and three loops (D, anti-codon, and T loops). Lineage: Eukaryota; Metazoa; Chordata; Mammalia; Rodentia; Cricetidae. The record is from Rfam by way of RNAcentral.